RNAcentral lists this long non-coding RNA (718 nucleotides) under Manacus vitellinus (golden-collared manakin). Its description in RNAcentral is "lncRNA (ENSMVIG00005018577.1)". Lineage: Eukaryota; Metazoa; Chordata; Aves; Passeriformes; Pipridae. The record is from RNAcentral.
AUGGGGGAGCCAUUCCAGCUGUUGCAGACUAAGCUGCAUGCAAAUCUACAGUGGGUGGUACAGCUCUUGUCCCAUUAACAGAUCCUGCUCUGACAGAGUAUGUUUAGAGACUGCAUUUUGGAGGGCUGUCACAGGUCUCUUCACCUGCCAUGGAGAAGGGCAGAAAAAUGCUGGCUUGUAGGACCCCAGAUGGAUUCAGUCUGACGCUGUUCUUCAUUACCCAAUGGCACUGCCUGAACUCUGGAUGGAAAGGUUGUCAUCUUGCCUUUGGCCAGCAUCUUGCAGUUGCUACCAUACACUGGCUGUUGCACACUCUCCUCUUCUGGGUGGCAAGGCAGCAUGAGAGCAUCUGAGUGAAAUGCCCAGACCUUGUGCGUUUUAGGAUUGCUGGCUUAUGGAGGGAGACACCAAGUGCUGGGAGAGUGUGGGAAGAAACAAAUUGAAAAUCAGCCAGUGGGAAACAGAGAAGAAGGCAUUUUUACUGCACUGUGUUUACAGCUUGUGCUUUCUCAGAUCCUAAAAAAUCCACUGUUUUGCCUACAUGUCUGCAAGACAUUAUAGUUCUACCAUGCAUAUCAGUGCACAGUUAUUAAAGUAAUAGCUUCUCCAAGCUAAUGUGAUGAAAUUCAGGCUUGGAAUUGCCUGUAAAUUCCAGAAAAAUGGAAGAUUUAAUGAAAGGUUCUUCAAAUUACUAAACCUGAAUGGUGAAUUUGCAGCC